AUGAGCUGAACAUCCAAUAAAUACUUCAGAGCUAAACAAGCUCAAGACAAAUGAGUAUAAGCUUUCACAGGCAUAAAUAUUAUAAAACCACUCAUAAUUGUAUUAACAAAGGAAGCAUCGCCCUUACAAAGUACAGCUGCAACAGCUGUAUGAUAUACUAGUAGAUAAUAGAAGAUGCAUUAUAUGCAUUAGUCUGGCCCUAGGUUAAACUAAUUCUAUUCAUAGUUCAUAAUAUGGCAGAAGCUUCAUCACUUGGUUCAGACAACAGAACCUCCUGUCUGAUGAAGCAUGGCGUCAAUUUCAUCCCCAUCUUCCAUCUCCAACUGAAACAAGACAUAUUUCCAUGCCAUAAAACAUGAAUGUUAGACAAUUAUUAUCAAAAUAUAUUUGGUAGAGAUAAAGUAGUGAAGAGAAAAGCAAUUAUAUUCACGAACCUCAUCGGGAGUCUGUUCAGCACGGAGACGACGCCCAUCAAAGAGAAAAGCAAUGGAGUUGAAAUCCACAGACUGACGAUCACAGUAAGCAUUCAUAAGCUUUUUCAAUUGAGUGUUCCUCUUGAUCCUGAAGAACACUUCAUUACCAUCCUAGAACAUACAAACAGACCAAAAUUAGCAUAUAACUCCAAUGUUUAAUUUCAUGUAUCCAAUUUAUGACAGUAAACAUUGUUUUUACUAAACAAGACUAAAGAUAUGGAAAACUACUCAUAUCAAGAAUUUAAAUAUAACUUCUGUUUUUUGAUAUGUAUCUCAACAACAAUUUCAAUAGCCUCUGAAUCGAAAACCAGAGUAAAAACCUCUAGAAAAUUCAGUUCACCUUGAAAUGUAUAAUUGAGUAUAGAAAAAUAAUUGAUCUAAAAUGCAAACCAUCAGAGUAAACAAAAACAAUUACAAUAUAAAAUUGAAGGAACCUCUUUGUAAGAGAUACUAAACAAACAAAAUAUUCUCUCAUUCGAUUAAACCUAAAUACAGAUGGCAGACAUGAAGGGAUGGACCAAACAGUGAAACAUACAUUAAAUAAAACAAAUCAUGAAUACUUAUUUUAGAAAAAAAUAAUUUUAGAUGUAGUGAAAAUGAUUGUUGUGAUUUUCAACCAUAAAAGAUGAAACACAACUGCCCAUUCUCUCAAAUUGAUAUUGCUAGGGAACACUUUCGGAAGAAUGCAUUGAUCAUAGCACAACACCGAUACACACUAUCCCUGCUCUCUAAUAAAACAUCACCUAUUUUUUUUCUGAAGAAACCAAAAGUGACACUAUAAAAUUUAGAUAACCAAAACAGAUACGAAGAUAUAAAACAAGCAAAAUCUCAGAUUAUAGACACGAAAGGAUACGACAAACAAUGAACCAUUGCAAACAUGAAAAGAUAUCCCGAUGUUUCUAUAUCACCAAAAAUUGGAACUAAAACUUUCACUAUCAUCCAUUUGAACAACAAUUCAUAGCAUAUAAAGUUUAAUGAAAACAGAAACCCAAAAGCAAUACAUAUAUCCAAACACAUCAACAAGAUACCACAUGAGCAUUCCAACAUGAGCAUCCAAAGCAUACAUUGUUAAAAAAAGACUCUUUUCUCAUACUUGAUUUAUUAUGUAAAACAAAUAAUAAUCAAUUUGAGAUUAAUUCCACCCUUGGUAAAACAACUUAUUAUGCAACAAAUAAUCGACUAGGGAUUCAUUCCCUCUUUGGUAAAAGAUCUUAUUUUGCAACUAAUAUAAGCACUUAUAAACAAGCUAAUUCCAUGAACAUAAAACACAGCAAAAACAAAGCCAAACUUUUAUCUUAUUUAACACUCUAUAAGUUGAUUUGAUACACUGUCGUGUGGAUCUUACUGUUAACAAGUUGAAACUAAGUUGUUUUCACAGGUUCUUUCAAACAAUGUCACAAGUGCAUAUAGCAGUAUAUAAACUCAAAUAAGUCAACCCAAACAGACCAAAUAAUGAAAAGCUUACUAGAGAUUAUGAACACACAUAUAAGGGUUUAGAACAAUGAAAUUAAAUUCCAAACCAUAAAGCAUAGUUAAAAAUAAUAACAAAAUUAAAAUUAAAAUCGAUCCAUAAAUCCAGGAAAAAAAAAAAAAACUUUAAUCAAACCUAUCAAAUGAUCAAAUCAAAACAGUGAAAACCCAAAUGCUUCAACAAUCAAUCAUAACAACACAAACGAAUCUCAAAUAUCAUAAAACAAGUAACCGAAGUUAAAAAAUCACCGAUCCACAAAGUUUAAAUCAAACGGAAACCCUAAAAAUUGAAAAUUUCAAAAACGAAACCCUAGAAAUCGAAGGAAGAAACAAACGAACCUGACCCUUGACCUUGAGGUUGAUGUGAGCACCACCUGCUUCUGGCUUCUUGUCUUCCUCGUUGUUGGGAGCAGCUGCACCUGACGACAUCUUCACAGAAUCUCCGAUUAUGCAAACGCGCUUUU
RNAcentral lists this long non-coding RNA (2407 nucleotides) under Medicago truncatula (barrel medic). RNAcentral describes it as "lncRNA gene15314". Lineage: Eukaryota; Viridiplantae; Streptophyta; Magnoliopsida; Fabales; Fabaceae. The record is from RNAcentral.